CUGGAGGUGGCUUGAUUUCGUGCAGAAGAUGGUAGCUGCUGGAGGUGGUGUUGUCGCUAGACGGAACUAAUGAUGUAGGUUGUGUCAUUGCUGGCUGGAGUUGAUCGGGCAAUCCUCAAUAUUAUGUACAAUGUUCUACAAACACAAUAGUGGUAAAUGGAAGUAAAAGUAAGUGGCUUGCCGAAUUGAGCUUAAACCUGUUAGUUGGGCAUAUUUUGGCAACGCAAAUAUAAACUUAUAUAUGUGCUAUUAAUUAGAGCAAAGGGGAUUCAUGAAAAGGACGGGUGCAUAUGAACCUCUAGGUGUGCUACAGAGUAUUAUUAUCAAUUAAAGAACAUACCAGUUCUUGGAAAAAAGAGGCAUGCAUGCAAAGGUUUUAGAGGAUCGAUCUAAUACCUGACUCGGCUUGGGUUCCCGUUGCAUAGCGCAAUGGCAAUUCCGAUGAAGAUGGUGCCCGCGCUAGGACAUCCCAGUUCUUUUUUACUGACCCGUCAGGUCUAACACUUCUGGCUGCUUGUCAGGUCCAACAUCCGCGUCAAGCAGCCGCGCGUCGUUGCGAUGGGAGAAGUCGGUUUUCAGUCCAUCAUGAAGUACGUAUGCGUCCAGGUCGGCGCUUUGUGGGCAGACCUUUAAAAUUCAGGACAUCUUGGAGGAGAACGGCAGGGUUCUUUCCAGGAAGCUUGGGUGUGUCGGCGUAGCAGGAGUACCUGAGUGAAUCUUGAAGGAGAUCUUUCUUUUUGGUAAACUAUCUGUGCCGAAGAUAGCUCCCUAUGUAUUUGAUACAAUGGAUGUAAAUCUUUUACUAUGUAGAUGUCCAUCGGUACUCUAAUCUAUUAGUAAUGAAACAAUAGUUUCUUA
RNAcentral lists this long non-coding RNA (858 nucleotides) under Triticum aestivum (bread wheat). RNAcentral describes it as "long non-coding RNA (TAES_LNC015802)". Lineage: Eukaryota; Viridiplantae; Streptophyta; Magnoliopsida; Poales; Poaceae. The record is from RNAcentral.